Molecule: long non-coding RNA, 564 nt
Organism: Poeciliopsis prolifica (blackstripe livebearer)
Lineage: Eukaryota; Metazoa; Chordata; Actinopteri; Cyprinodontiformes; Poeciliidae
Exons: 3
Source: RefSeq, a predicted model, not a curated record
CAGUAGUUAAUCUAUACAAAGGCUGUUUUGCCUUAAUUUUUUUAUUUUUUUGAAAAGUCUAAAUGUUAUAUUGCACUAAUAAAAUAUAUAUUUUUGCAGGCUUCAAGAGGAUCAGCGUGUGAAGAUCACUUUAUAAUGAUUUGAAAAAGGUUGCCAUGGCUACAGAAAUUGGAGGAGCAUCCUUAGAUGACACAAUACAACCAGCUGUGCGAUUCCUCAUGUCCAAUGAACUGGAAGUCCAGUUCAACCUUUUUGGCCAACAUUGGAAACAAGCUCUUGGACCUGCGUCUCUUUGAUGUUUUGUAUGGGGACUUAAAAGAAAUUAUCCAUCUACAGAAUCACACAAGCAUACAGCAAAGACUCUCGAAGUGGUUUACUGGAGCCCGAGUGGAAGUGGAAAUAGACUAGAGAGACUGCCAGUUCAAACUCAGGUUGGGGAGGUCUUUCAAGAUGGACAGUUUCAGUAAAGUAUGAGAGAUUUCAAAUUUAAGCAUGCAUAUGGCAUGUAGGUUAUUUUUAAAAAUGUUUAACAAAAAUGUAUUGUGAAAGAUCUAUAUAGGUGUG